GUAGGUGGCAAGCGUUGUCCGGAAUUAUUGGGCGUAAAGCGCGCGCAGGCGGUCCUUUAAGUCUGAUGUGAAAGCCCACGGCUCAACCGUGGAGGGUCAUUGGAAACUGGGGGACUUGAGUACAGAAGAGGAAAGCGGAAUUCCAAGUGUAGCGGUGAAAUGCGUAGAGAUUUGGAGGAACACCAGUGGCGAAGGCGGCUUUCUGGUCUGUAACUGACGCUGAGGCGCGAAAGCGUGGGGAGCAAACAGGAUUAGAUACCCUGGUAGUCCACGCCGUAAACGAUGAGUGCUAAGUGUUAGGGGGUUUCCCGCCCCCCUUAGCGCUGCAGCUAACGCAUUAAGCACUCCGCCUGGGGAGUACGGCCGCAAGGCUG
Molecule: ribosomal RNA, 374 nt
Filed under: uncultured organism
Description: partial 16S ribosomal RNA
Rfam family: Bacterial small subunit ribosomal RNA
Source: RNAcentral